GUCUCGAUCAUCCAGCCGCUUUAUUUUUCAAAGUAGAGCGUCUGGAUGACAAGUGAUAUAAAAAUGGUAAUUUAUGACAUUCGGAAUAGUAUCGGCCUUUUUAGUUUGUUGUUAGAGAUAAUGUCCAAGACGAAUAACCAAGAAGUUGGUUAUUGACUUCGGAAGAAAUGACAUUACGAUAAUAUUAUUGAAAAGCCCGAGUGUACCGAUUGUUAUUUAAAGCUAUUUAUAUAUUUUUGUGACGACAUACAAUUCAUGGAAAACACCAUACAGCAUGGCCGCGAAGGAAAACAUCAGCACAUCCAACCUUGGUAAGAUUCAAGUUAAUAUUAUAACAACACACACUGUUACAUAUAUUUCAAUGCAACCUGAUACACUGAGUAUUUAUAUUCUUUCAUGCAUGUCUGUGCUACGAACGAGUUUAUAAUUAUACAAUAAAUGUCAACUUGUGUGUUGACUGGGACCACUCGAACAGUCGUAUACGCUAUAAAUACAUUUUGUGGUUGAUGUGUAGUAUCUGUAACUUUAUGAAUACUUGAUUGAAAAGUGCUAUGACGCCGAAAGUUUCCUUCAUUUAGAACUGUUGUAUCUAUCUAAAUAAAGGAGUUUACAUCUUGAUAUGUGUAAAAGAAAAAAAAGGGG
Molecule: long non-coding RNA, 642 nt
Filed under: Mytilus galloprovincialis (Mediterranean mussel)
Lineage: Eukaryota; Metazoa; Mollusca; Bivalvia; Mytilida; Mytilidae
Source: RNAcentral